RNAcentral lists this long non-coding RNA (390 nucleotides) under Homo sapiens (human). RNAcentral's name for it is "HSALNT0036478". Lineage: Eukaryota; Metazoa; Chordata; Mammalia; Primates; Hominidae. The record is from RNAcentral.
UGGUCCACCUCCCCUCUAGACCUGGCACAGAGAUUGCCUGAUGGCUCUAGACUGCAGUCUGAUGAAAGAGAAGGAGGCCCCAAAGACCCAGGUUUUGAAGGGGAUUCAAGAAUUAAGAGAGUUAACACUAUCAAGCUUACAGGCAUAAGGAGGGGGGUCAGUGGCUUUCAUCUGAGCAAGUGCAGCCCGAAAAGGCCUAUCCAGGUGGAAGGAUCCCACAGACUGAGCCUCCUUGGGGUCUGUAAUGACAACACCUUGUAGCCUGUAACUAGCUCUAAGCCCAGAACAGAAGCUAAGACAUUUGCACCCUCAAAACACAUCCUUGAGCUCAGAGCUCAGAGACCCUACUGGGUCUGGGUAGGGAUGUGUGAAGCACCACAGUGGCCAUCC